GAGACAGCAGUCGCCGCGGUAAUACGAGGGGUGCAAGCGUUGUUCGGAAUUAUUGGGCGUAAAGGGUGCGUAGGCGGCUUGACAAGUCUUGUGUGAAAUCUAUGGGCUCAACCCAUAGUCUGCACGGGAAACUGUCGGGCUUGAGAAUGGGAGAGGUGAGUGGAAUUUCCGGUGUAGCGGUGAAAUGCGUAGAUAUCGGAAGGAACACCUGUGGCGAAAGCGGCUCACUGGACCAUUUCUGACGCUGAUGCACGAAAGCUAGGGGAGCAAACAGGAUUAGAUACCCCCGUAGUCCCUGUCUCUUAUAC
RNAcentral lists this ribosomal RNA (308 nucleotides) under uncultured bacterium. RNAcentral's name for it is "partial 16S ribosomal RNA". It matches the Rfam family "Bacterial small subunit ribosomal RNA", at positions 505 to 807 of the family's 1533-position model. The record is from RNAcentral.